RNAcentral lists this unclassified non-coding RNA (223 nucleotides) under plant metagenome. Its description in RNAcentral is "partial contains small subunit ribosomal RNA, internal transcribed spacer 1, and 5.8S ribosomal RNA". The record is from RNAcentral.
UUUCCGUAGGUGAACCUGCGGAAGGAUCAUUAAAGAGAAUAUGCCCUUCGGGGUAGAUCUCCCACCCUUUGUUUAUAUUACCUUUGUUGCUUUGGCAGGCCCGUCUUCGGACCACCGGCUUCGGCUGGUCAGUGCUUGCCAGAGGACCCAAAACUCUUAUUAUUAAUGUCGUCUGAGUACUAUAUAAUAGUUAAAGCUUUCAACAACGGAUCUCUUGGUUCUG